GAGGUAAGAUGAGUCCAAUUACUUUUCAUUUAUGAUCAAGAGACGAUAUCUUGGAGGAAAACCAAUUGCGUUUCAAGUAUACCAUCUCCUUACAGGGAAGGUAGCCGUCCAUCUUGGCUUUGAUGAAAAAGUAAAAUUGCAACUCUCCCUAUCGCUAUUUAUAGGAGAAAAUUUUUGGGUGAUUGACCCUCGUGAGGGUAAAAAGAAAGGAAAAUUUUUUUCCAUUCCAAUUUACCAUUCAU
Molecule: unclassified non-coding RNA, 242 nt
Filed under: Hevea brasiliensis (rubber tree)
Lineage: Eukaryota; Viridiplantae; Streptophyta; Magnoliopsida; Malpighiales; Euphorbiaceae
Source: RNAcentral